This 1276-nucleotide long non-coding RNA is filed under the name Coturnix japonica (Japanese quail). RNAcentral describes it as "lncRNA (ENSCJPG00005010939.1)". The record is from RNAcentral. Lineage: Eukaryota; Metazoa; Chordata; Aves; Galliformes; Phasianidae.
AGUAAAUAAUGUAGUGUGUUUGAAGGAAGAGGUAAAACACCAAACUUAGUACUUUUUUUGUUGUCCCCAUCAUUUCUGCUGGAACGUAAAGGGGUACUGCUGGGAUGCAUCGGUGUGGGCCAGGUAGAGCUGUUGGAUCUGAAGGCAGUUUCUUUGAAGGAUCCUAAUCUGCACAGCUGCAGUCACUAUCAAUCCAUACCCACAGUCCCAAGUCCCACCUUUGGGACUUCCAGCUUUUGGGCUGAAAGUCAGUAAGUUUGGGGAGCAAAGUUGUGAGCCAUAUGAAUGAAACCAUGAGCUUAUCCCAUGGGAAAGAAAUGUGGAUGUGCUGCACUUCAGCAGGGAUCUUGGAUUGUCUGACCAGGCCUGUUCUACUGGCUUGUCCUAUAGAUCCAAAGCAGGAAUGAUCCCGGUGCUGACUCCUCCAUCGCUCUGGAAGGAGUGUUACAGAGAACACAGAACAGUUUGUGAAGAUGAAACCAGGACUGCUGUCUUUUGUUUUGACGCUUUGCUGUGUUCUGGGAUCACAGGUGUUACUACAAGAUUCCAGUUUUUCACUGGGGAGAAUCCAAGUGUUUCAAGUGAGUUCAAGCAGAAUUUCGCUGCGUUGAACUGGCCUGAUUUGGGAUGCAAACCGACCUCUGAAACACCGAAAUUUCCCGUGGGAGCAGAAAUUCGGAAUUCUGCUCAGCUCCAGUUACUCUGUGCAUGGAAAUGGCCUCAAGCAAACAAACAGCGCAGACAGGAGAUGCGCCUGAAAGCUGACACUGGUGGAUGCUUUACAAACCAAGCCCAUGCUGGAAAGGAGCUGCAAGACCCUUGGGAAGCCCUCAUCACCUCCACGCUGUGACCUAUUACUGGAGACCCUCCGUGGGUUGUUGAGGCUGUGUUGGUCACACUAUGUUAUAUUUUAUCACAGCAAAACCGUGGUGUGGUUAAAUAACUCCACAGUAUCAUCUGGCUAAACAAGUGCUCCGACAUUUUGGGAAAUGAAACCUGAGCUUCUUGUGUACCAGCCCAGCAAGUGCCCUCUGAAGCUUGUUUGUAAACUGAGUGGGCAUUUGGCUCUUCUGGGGGUCAGGGACACAUGGUUGUAAAAGCACUCGGAUGAAUGAGAGUCCUGAACUGCCAGUGGCCCUGGAUGAUCCUACAAGGCACUUACUGUAUUUCAAAGACAAUGGAGGACGAAUGAGGCUGGGCUCUUGUCUGGACUCUGGAUGCUUCUCCUGUGGUUAAGGUAUUAUACACAAAGAAUAAAGAAUUUUUAUGCCUUCCA